RNAcentral lists this ribosomal RNA (502 nucleotides) under Mormidea v-luteum. RNAcentral's name for it is "partial large subunit ribosomal RNA". It matches the Rfam family "Eukaryotic large subunit ribosomal RNA", at positions 695 to 1138 of the family's 3401-position model. The record is from RNAcentral. Lineage: Eukaryota; Metazoa; Arthropoda; Insecta; Hemiptera; Pentatomidae.
UGGGUGUACAACCUAAAGGCGCAAUGAAAGUGUCAGUGGCGGCUCCUUUACGGAGUCCGUCCCGCUGGGAGGAUGGGCUCCCGUACGAUAACCUCGUCGGGGCCCCGCACUCCCGGGGCGUCUCGUUCUCAUUACGAGUGGAGACGCACCAGGAGCGCACACGCUGGUACCCGAAAGAUGGUGAACUAUGCCUGGCCAGGACGAAGCCAGGGGAAACCCUGGUGGAGGUCCGAAGCGAUUCUGACGUGCAAAUCGAUCGUCUGAGCUGGGUAUAGGGGCGAAAGACCAAUCGAACCAUCUAGUAGCUGGUUCCCUCUGAAGUUUCCCUCAGGAUAGCUGGCUCUCGGGAAGAGACGAGUCUCAUCCGGUAGAGCGAAUGAUUAGAGGUGAUGGGGUCGAAACGACUUCAACCUAUUCUCAAACUCCCAAUAGAUGAGAGCCCCGGGUUUCUUAAAAGUGAACCCGCGGGAAUCGGAUCAGAGAUGCCAAGUGGGCCAAUUUU